RNAcentral lists this microRNA precursor (110 nucleotides) under Drosophila ananassae. Its description in RNAcentral is "Dan-Mir-956-v1_pre stem-loop". The record is from RNAcentral. Lineage: Eukaryota; Metazoa; Arthropoda; Insecta; Diptera; Drosophilidae.
GCGUUUGGAAUGGUCUCGUUAGCUAACGAAUGGACUAAAAUGCAAUUUGCAAUUCGGCGCCAAUUAUCCAGGCGCCAAAAAGUUUAGUUUCGAGACCACUCUAAUCCAUU